Molecule: unclassified non-coding RNA, 233 nt
Filed under: Hevea brasiliensis (rubber tree)
Lineage: Eukaryota; Viridiplantae; Streptophyta; Magnoliopsida; Malpighiales; Euphorbiaceae
Source: RNAcentral
AAGCACCAUCUCUGAUUUUAAACCCUCCAUUUUCUCUAACAAACUCGGAUCGUUAUAGGCUUCAAAAUUACAUUGAUGUCCUUAAUAACAGGCAAAGCAUUUCAAAGUCUCAAAUGAUGGCUCUGCUCAAGUGUGAAGAUCAACACUGCUCUCCAUAAGGAGGAGAGAGAGCUGUUAACACAAAGUGAUGAUAGCAUACAUCAGUGUCUUACUCUGUAAAAUUCUUUUGUCUG